Carassius auratus (goldfish) is the source of this 3221-nucleotide RNA transcript. It is a transcript of the gene named NIMA-related kinase 8, with no coding region annotated. The transcript has 12 exons. The record is from RefSeq and is a predicted model, not a curated record. Lineage: Eukaryota; Metazoa; Chordata; Actinopteri; Cypriniformes; Cyprinidae.
UAGGGGUAAAGGAAGUGUUGCCUAGUGACGGGGCGCGUUUAGAAUCCAGCAAACAUGGAGAAGUACGAGAAGAUAAAAGUGGUCGGCAGAGGAGCGUUCGGGAUAGUGCACCUUUGUCGCAGACGCACUGAUGGCUCGCAGGUGAUCUUGAAGGAGAUCCCAGUUGAGCAGAUGACGCGUGAUGAACGCCUCGCGGCCCAGAAUGAAUGCCAAGUCCUCAAGUUACUCAGCCACCCCAACAUAAUUGAGUAUUAUGAAAACUUCCUUGAGGACAAGGCGCUAAUGAUCGCAAUGGAAUACGCUCCAGGUGGGACCCUGGCUGAUUACAUACAGAAGCGCUGCAACUCCCUGUUAGAUGAAGAUACCAUAUUACACUUCUUUGUUCAGAUCUUAUUGGCCCUUUAUCAUGUGCACAAUAAACUCAUCCUACAUCGGGACCUCAAAACCCAGAACAUACUCCUAGACAAGCACCAGACGAUAGUAAAAAUAGGAGACUUCGGAAUCUCGAAAAUUCUUGUCAGCAAGAGCAAAGCUUAUACUGUUGUGGGGACACCUUGUUAUAUCUCUCCAGAACUGUGUGAAGGAAAGCCAUACAACCAGAAGAGUGAUAUCUGGGCCCUGGGCUGUGUGCUUUAUGAGCUUGCUAGUCUCAAAAGAGCUUUUGAGGCAGCAAACCUGCCAGCUUUGGUGCUGAAGAUCAUGAGUGGCACAUUUGCCCCCAUUUCCGACCGUUACAGUCCAGAACUGAGACAACUCAUUCUCAACAUGCUGAAUCUGGACCCCUCCAAAAGACCCCAGCUCAAUGAGAUAAUGGCUCAUCCCAUCUGCAUCAGGCCAUUGCUCAAUCUCUACACCGACAUAGGCAACGUCAAAAUGCGGAGAAUAGAAAAGCCACUUUCUUCUGUACAAACAGGCCCUCAUGGAAGACCUGGUGGGCGUGUGACCGGUACCAGAACCAGAGGAGGGCUGUCCAGUCUUACUUCGACAAAGAUGAUGCACCCAUUGCCGUUAUCGUCCGUGUACACCUGGGGCAGUGGCAUCUCCACUCCUCUGCGUCUGCCCAUGUUAAACACAGAGGUUAUUCAAGUGUCCCUGGGCCGCACACAGAAGAUGGGCGUCACCAAAUCUGGGAAGCUAAUCACAUGGGAGGCCCCCUCGGUUGGAUCCGGUGAGCCUACUCUGCCUGGCGCCGUUGAGCAGAUGCAGGCCCAGUUUAUCUCCCGCUUCCUGGAGGGCCAGUCUGGAGUCACGAUCAAAUCGGUCUCAUGUGGUGAUCUCUUCACCACCUGUCUAACAGACAGAGGUAUAAUCAUGACGUUUGGAAGUGGAAGCAAUGGUUGUCUUGGACAUGGGAACUUCAACGAUGUGACACAGCCCAAGAUAGUGGAGGCUCUGCUGGGUUAUGAGCUGGUUCAAGUGUCUUGUGGAGCAUCCCACGUCCUGGCAGUGACCAAUGAGCGAGAGGUUUUCUCCUGGGGGCGAGGAGACAACGGCCGGCUGGGAUUGGCAUCUCACGACUGCCACAACUGCCCACAGCAGGUGAGUUUGCCGGCUGAUUUUGAAGCCCAGCGUGUGCUGUGUGGGAUCGACUGCUCCAUGAUCAUCAGCACACAGCACCAGAUUCUGGCCUGUGGGAACAACAGGUACUCAAAAUGUCCUCUAGUUAGCAUGUGGUUGACUGUCACAGAUUCACUGGUUAAUGAACCUGCCACAAAUCUAAUCACAAUUAUAAACAAUAAUGAAUCCCAAAAUGUAAAAAAAUGUAUCUCAAUGAAUUUCUUUCUUAGCUGUUUAGGCAGUUUUUCAGAUUGCUAAACCAGUUUAGGGAGUUCACACUCCUCAUUCCUGCUCUAGCAUUUGAAAGAACCGUGAAUGCUGAAGACAUUUCAUCACAGGAAAUGACCAACACAAUGUCCAUAUUUUGAAUAACUGUCACACCCUGUCAGUCACACCAUCGUACCGUCUGAGUGCGAAAUAUCUUUUUUUCUUACAGACUUACCAGAUGUGGUUGUAAAAUAAAAAAAAAAUACACUUUACCAUACAAAAUAGUAUUUAUUACAGAAGUAAAUAUAUAAAUGUAAUAAGAAUGAAAAUUAUGUCAGCUUUUACUCAACCUCGUGUUGUUCCGAACCUGUGUGAGUUUCUUUCUUCUGUGGAAUAUCAAAGAAGAUAUUCUGAAGAAUGUUGGGAAACAAACAGUCGCUGGUCCCCAUCGACUUGCAUAGUAUAGAAAAAUACAAUGAAAGUCAGUGGGGACCAGAAACUGUUUGGUUACUCACAUUCUUCAAUCAUACAUCAUCAUUCUUCUUUUGUGUUCAGUGGACAGAAAGAAAUUAAUGAACUAUUCCUUUAAAUGCAAACUGAAGGUAAUGUUUUCAGACGCUUAAUUGCAAUAAACUUUAGCUUUUUUACCCAUUUAAGUAGGACUUAAGUACAUCUUUAUAUGUAAUUUCCUAAUUACUUCUAAUUUCUAUUGAAACUUUUAUGUCAUGUAUAUACAUUUGUAAUGACUCUGCAAUUUAAUAAAAUAUAUAUUACCUUUUAAUGUAAUACAAUUAUAAUUAAGAUAUUAUUCAACCCAUUAAAGGAAGUGUUCUUUAAAUCACAGCAAAAAUGAUUAAAUCAAUAAUUACAAAUUUAAAUUUAAAAAUGUACUCUAUUUUUUAUUUUUUUUUACAUUAUUACAAAGUGCAGUUUAAAAAGAAAAAGUACUUUAAAGAAUAGUUCACCCAAAAAUGAAAAUUCUGUCAUUAAUUACUAAAGUCAUUUCAAACUUGUAAGACCUUUGUUUUUGCUGUGAUUCUGACUGACGUGGAAGAGAAAAAAUAGUUGAGUUAAGUUUUUUUUUUUCUUAGCACACAAAAAGAAGUAUCUUGUAGCUUCCUAACAUUACGGUUAAAGCACUGAUGUCACAUGGACUAUUGUAACGAUGUCCUUACUACCUUUCUGCACUUUGACUGUGGUAGUUCCCUUGCUGGGACAGAGGGUGCAGGGUCAGAAAGCUCUCGGAUUUCAUCCAAAAUAUCUUAAUUUGUGUUCUGAAGGUGAAUGAAAGUCAUAUGGGCUUGGAACAACAUGAGGGUUUAACAAGCUGGGUUUGGAUAAGGUCUCUGGCACAGAGGAGCCCCCGUCUCACUGUCAGGUGGAGGAGGUCCACACGUUCCAGCCCGUCCAGUCGGCUCCUCUCAGUGUUGAGAAGAUUGUGUAUAUAGACAUCGGCA